Molecule: ribosomal RNA, 484 nt
Filed under: uncultured bacterium
Lineage: Bacteria
Description: partial 16S ribosomal RNA
Rfam family: Bacterial small subunit ribosomal RNA
Source: RNAcentral
AUUGAACGCUGGCGGCAGGCCUAACACGUGCAAGUCGAGCGGAUGAAGGGAGCUUGCUCCUGGAUUCAGCGGCGGACGGGUGAGUAAUGCCUAGGAAUCUGCCUGGUAGUGGGGGAUAACGUCCGGAAACGGGCGCUAAUACCGCAUACGUCCUGAGGGAGAAAGUGGGGGAUCUUCGGACCUCACGCUAUCAGAUGAGCCUAGGUCGGAUUAGCUAGUUGGUGGGGUAAAGGCCUACCAAGGCGACGAUCCGUAACUGGUCUGAGAGGAUGAUCAGUCACACUGGAACUGAGACACGGUCCAGACUCCUACGGGAGGCAGCAGUGGGGAAUAUUGGACAAUGGGCGAAAGCCUGAUCCAGCCAUGCCGCGUGUGUGAAGAAGGUCUUCGGAUUGUAGAGCACUUUAAGUUGGGAGGAAGGGCAGUAAGUUAAUACCUUGCUGUUUUGACGUUACCAACAGAAUAAGCACCGGCUAACUUCGUG